Molecule: ribosomal RNA, 443 nt
Filed under: uncultured bacterium
Lineage: Bacteria
Description: partial 16S ribosomal RNA
Rfam family: Bacterial small subunit ribosomal RNA
Source: RNAcentral
CCUACGGGUGGCAGCAGUGGGGAAUAUUGGGCAAUGGGCGCAAGCCUGACCCAGCAACGCCGCGUGAAGGAAGAAGGCUUUCGGGUUGUAAACUUCUUUUGUCAGGGACGAAGCAAGUGACGGUACCUGACGAAAAAGCCACGGCUAACUACGUGCCAGCAGCCGCGGUAAUACGUAGGUGGCAAGCGUUAUCCGGAUUUAUUGGGUGUAAAGGGCGUGUAGGCGGGAAGGAAAGUCAGAUGUGAAAACCAUGGGCUCAACCCAUAGACUGCAUUUGAAACUGUAAUUCUUGAGUGCUGGAGAGGCAAAGGGAAUUCCUGGUGUAGCGGUGAAAUGCGGAGAGAGAAGGAGGAACACCAGUGGCGAAGGCGAAUUGCUGGACAGUAACUGACGCUGAGGCACGAAAGCGAGGGGAGCAAACGGGAUUAGAUACCCGAGUAGUC